RNAcentral lists this ribosomal RNA (1402 nucleotides) under Cytophaga sp. UL30. RNAcentral's name for it is "16S ribosomal RNA". It matches the Rfam family "Bacterial small subunit ribosomal RNA". The record is from RNAcentral. Lineage: Bacteria; Pseudomonadati; Bacteroidota; Cytophagia; Cytophagales; Cytophagaceae.
AUUUGUGCUUGCACAAGAUGACGACCGGCGCACGGGUGCGCACCGCGUAUGGAACCUACCUUGUACAGGGGAAUAGCCCAGGGAAACUUGGAUUAAUGCCCCGUAGUACCGUGUCCCGGCAUCGGGAUACGGUUAAAGCCUUCGGGCGGUAUAAGAUGGCCAUGCGUCCCAUUAGCUUGUUGGUAAGGUAACGGCUUACCAAGGCUACGAUGGGUAGGGGCCCUGCAGAGGGGGAUCCCCCACACUGGUACUGUAGACACGGACCAGACUCCUACGGGAGGCAGCAGUGAGGAAUAUUGUGACAAUGGAGGAGUACUCUGAUCCAGCCAUGCCGCGUGCAGGAAGAAUGCCCUAUGGGUAGUAAACUGCUUUUAUACGGGAAGAAAAAAGAGUACGUGUACUCUACUGACGGUACCGUAAGAAUAAGGACCGGCUAACUCCGUGCCAGCAGCCGCGGUAAUAACGGACGGUCCGAGGCGUUAUCCGGGAAUUAUUGGGGUUUAAAGGGGUCCGUAGGCGGGCCGAUAAGUCAGGGGUGAAAGUUUGCAGCUCAACUGUAAAAUUGCCUUUGGAUAACUGUUGGUCCUGAAGUUAUAGUGAAGUUGCCGGGAAUAUGUAGUGUAGCGGUGAAAUGCAUAGAUAUUACAUAGAACACCGAUUGCGAAGGCAGGUGACUAACUAUAUACUGACGCUGAUGGACGAAAGCGUGGGGAGCGAACAGGAUUAGAUACCCUGGUAGUCCACGCCGUAAACGAUGGAUACUAGCUGUCCGAGGCCUUGAGUCUUGGGCGGCCAAGCGAAAGUGAUAAGUAUCCCACCUGGGGAGUACGUUCGCAAGAAUGAAACUCAAAGGAAUUGACGGGGGCCCGCACAAGCGGUGGAGCAUGUGGUUUAAUUCGAUGAUACGCGAGGAACCUUACCAGGGCUUAAAUGCAUAUUGACAGGUCUAGAGAUAGAUUUUCCUUCGGGCAAUUUGCAAGGUGCUGCAUGGUUGUCGUCAGCUCGUGCCGUGAGGUGUCAGGUUAAGUCCUAUAACGAGCGCAACCCCUACCGUUAGUUGCCAGCAUGUCAUGAUGGGGACUCUAACGGGACUGCCGGUGCAAACCGUGAGGAAGGUGGGGAUGACGUCAAAUCAUCACGGCCCUUACGUCCUGGGCCACACACGUGCUACAAUGGUAGGUACAGAGAGCAGCCACGUCGCAAGGCGGAGCGAAUCUAUAAAACCUAUCACAGUUCGGAUCGGGGUCUGCAACUCGACCCCGUGAAGCUGGAAUCGCUAGUAAUCGGAUAUCAGCCAUGAUCCGGUGAAUACGUUCCCGGGCCUUGUACACACCGCCCGUCAAGCCAUGGAAGCCGGGAGUGCCUGAAGUCCGUCACCGUAAGGAGCGGCCUAGGGCAAGAU